AUGAAAAUCAUUUAUAGGAAAAAAGUACUUCACAUAUCAUGUUUUAAAGCAUAUACAUACCUUCCCCAUAAAAAAUCAUAUACAUACCUCUUGGAUACCAGGUAUAUAUUACUUCUUACAAAACAUGAGAAAGCAGUGGAGAAAUUUAGCUAUGUGAGCGAACUAAUCAAGUCAACUAUAACACAUUCCAAGACCAACAAGCAAUUAAAAUCAAAUAUAUUACUUCUUACUUGUAUGCAUGCAAACAUAGAUGGUAUUCAAUCUUUUCCGCUCCGAAUAAAUCUCUUAUGGCUCAGUUUUAGGUAG
This 306-nucleotide ribosomal RNA is filed under the name Triticum aestivum (bread wheat). RNAcentral's name for it is "partial small subunit ribosomal RNA". Lineage: Eukaryota; Viridiplantae; Streptophyta; Magnoliopsida; Poales; Poaceae. The record is from RNAcentral.